CACGUAGGGGGCGAGCGUUGUCCGGAUUUAUUGGGCGUAAAGAGCUCGUAGGCGGCUAAGUAAGUCAGGUGUGAAAACUCCAGGCUCAACCUGGAGACGCCACCUGAUACUGCUUUGGCUAGAGUCCGGUAGGGGAGCAUGGAAUUCCUGGUGUAGCGGUGAAAUGCGCAGAUAUCAGGAGGAACACCGGUGGCGAAGGCGGCUUCCUGGACCGACACUGACGCUGAGGCGCGAAAGCUAGGGGAGCAAACGGG
This 254-nucleotide ribosomal RNA is filed under the name uncultured bacterium. RNAcentral's name for it is "partial 16S ribosomal RNA". It matches the Rfam family "Bacterial small subunit ribosomal RNA", at positions 524 to 776 of the family's 1533-position model. The record is from RNAcentral.